This 252-nucleotide ribosomal RNA is filed under the name uncultured bacterium. RNAcentral describes it as "partial 16S ribosomal RNA". It matches the Rfam family "Bacterial small subunit ribosomal RNA", at positions 524 to 776 of the family's 1533-position model. The record is from RNAcentral.
UACGUAGGGGGCUAGCGUUAUCCGGAAUUACUGGGCGUAAAGGGUGCGUAGGUGGUUUCUUAAGUCAGAGGUGAAAGGCUACGGCUCAACCGUAGUAAGCCUUUGAAACUGGGGAACUUGAGUGCAGGAGAGGAGAGUGGAAUUCCUAGUGUAGCGGUGAAAUGCGUAGAUAUUGGGAGGAACACCAGUUGCGAAGGUGGCUCUCUGGACUGUAACUGACACUGAGGCACGAAAGCGUGGGGAGCAAACAGG